AUUACACAUGACAGCGCGUAGAGGACAUGAAACUGAAAAUGCUGACACCAAGACACGGACCUUAAACAUAACACAGAGAGUACACAGAGAGAACAUGACGGAAAGAGGAAAACACAGAACAUGAGGAGUAUGAACAAAGCACAAUAACUCACACCACUAUAUACACGGUCACACAGAGGGAGACAAAGGGGGAUAAAGACAUGAGGGGAAAUCUAGUAAAUUAACCUGAACAACUUAGGACCCAUAGAAUAACAAAUUAACAAAUGACACAGGAACACAGGAAAACUAAGAACGCUAGGUAAAAUGACCCAGGAUCCUGGCAAUUUUGCUAUCUUGUUUACUUUUUCCCCCUGUCUGAAUCCGGAAUGACUACAUCCCGUACAGAACAGGUGUAAAAAGUAUUUUUGAUUUGUUGUAGUAAAAUGAAGAAUGGAAACUCACUAACAAAUUUCUAAACUAAUCAUUUAUGCGAAGUGAAAAUUGGUGUGAAUUUGAGAGAAAAAGAUUCAAAAGACAAAUUCAAAUUCAAAUUUUAUUUGUCACGUACACAGUCAUACACAGUACGAUAUGCAGUGAAAUGCUUGGACAACUGCUCGUGACCUAAAGAAAACAAAAAAAGGAAAAGGCUAUGCAUAAGAUAGGAAAUAAAUAUGAAAAAUUAAAAAGGGAAAUAAAUAUGAAAAAUUAAAAAGGGUAAAUUUUACUAGGAAGGAAUAAAAUAUAAAUUAAGAUUAAAAAGGAAAUAACUGUACAACACAAAUUAGAAUGAAGGGUAAAUUUAACUGGGAAGGAAUAAGAUAAAAUAUAUAAAUUAAAGUUGAAAACAAAAUACACAAUAUAGAACUAUAUAAGAAUGUAUGAAGAAAUAUAAAUAAAUAUAUACACAAUAACAGCAGCUGUACAAGUAUUAACUGGAAAUGAAGAAUAUAAUGUCCAGUGUUGUGCAAUCCACAUCAUGUCUUCUGCAGUGCAAAUAUGCUUAAAUCCAGGCAAUUCUUUUUGACUUUAAAGCUGAAAUGAUAAAAUCAGUGUCUAAUGUUAAAGCAACAGAGCUCCAAUGAAGCUCAAGUACAAUAAAAUGUGAUGCAGUCUUAAAUCAUGCAUUAUAAAGUUCUCUGCAGAGCAAUUUAUUGCUGUAAGUAGACUUUAGAGAUGCAUAGGGGGCAAUUUUUUCCACUUCACUAAAAAGCCAGGAAGUAGCACGGUCACGGUUUAAUGUGGCUCCUUUAAAAAUACAGCAUCACUCUUCCUAUGAAUUUGCUCUGAUUAUCUACACAUCAAAGAAGAUGCUUAUUUAUUGUAUUGUAUGCUGUUUUGUUU
Molecule: long non-coding RNA, 1320 nt
Organism: Astatotilapia calliptera (eastern happy)
Lineage: Eukaryota; Metazoa; Chordata; Actinopteri; Cichliformes; Cichlidae
Source: Ensembl